This 468-nucleotide ribosomal RNA is filed under the name uncultured bacterium. Its description in RNAcentral is "partial 16S ribosomal RNA". It matches the Rfam family "Bacterial small subunit ribosomal RNA", at positions 28 to 507 of the family's 1533-position model. The record is from RNAcentral.
GACGAACGCUGGCGGCGUGCUUAACACAUGCAAGUCGAACGGAAACGCCCUGCUUUUGUGCGGUGCUCGAGUGGCGAACGGGUGAGUAACACGUAAGUAACGUGCCCUUGACUUUGGGAUAACUUCAGGAAACUGGGGCUAAUACCAGAUAGGAGCUCCUGCUGCAUGGUGGGGGUUGGAAAGUUUCGGCGGUUGGGGAUGGACUCGCGGCUUAUCAGCUUGUUGGUGGGGUAGUGGCUUACCAAGGCUUGGAACGGUAGCCGGCAUGAGAGGGUGACCGGCGACAUUGGGACUGAGAUACGGCCCAGACUGGUACGGGAGGCAGCAGUGGGGAGUAUUGCACAGUGGGAGGAAGCCUGAUGCGGCAACGCCGCGUGCGGGAUGACGGCCUGCGGGUUGUGAACCGCUGUCGCCUGUGACGAAGCGUGAGUGACGGUAACGGGUGAAGAAGCACCGGCUAACUACGUG